AUCCAACUGACGAGUCCCAAAUUGGACGGAAUGCGCGUCCUGGAU
Molecule: non-coding RNA, 45 nt
Organism: Schistosoma curassoni
Lineage: Eukaryota; Metazoa; Platyhelminthes; Trematoda; Strigeidida; Schistosomatidae
Source: Rfam